GACGAACGCUGGCGGCGUGCUUAACACAUGCAAGUCGAACGGAAAGGCCCUGCUUUUGUGGGGUGCUCGAGUGGCGAACGGGUGAGUAACACGUGAGUAACCUGCCCUUGACUUUGGGAUAACUUCAGGAAACUGGGGCUAAUACCGGAUAGGAGCUCCUGCUGCAUGGUGGGGGUUGGAAAGUUUCGGCGGUUGGGGAUGGACUCGCGGCUUAUCAGCUUGUUGGUGGGGUAGUGGCUUACCAAGGCUUUGACGGGUAGCCGGCCUGAGAGGGUGACCGGCCACAUUGGGACUGAGAGACGGCGCAGACUCCUACGGGAGGCAGCAGUGGAGAAUAUUGCACAAUGGGCGGAAGCCUGAUGCAGCAACGCCGCGUGCGGGAUGACGGCCUUCGGGUUGUAAACCGCUUUCGCCUGUGACGAAGCGGGAGUGACGGUAAUGGGUAAAGAAGCACCGGCUAACUACGUG
This 468-nucleotide ribosomal RNA is filed under the name uncultured bacterium. RNAcentral describes it as "partial 16S ribosomal RNA". It matches the Rfam family "Bacterial small subunit ribosomal RNA", at positions 28 to 507 of the family's 1533-position model. The record is from RNAcentral.